AUACAGAGGGUGCGAGCGUUAAUCGGAAUUACUGGGCGUAAAGCGCGCGUAGGCGGCUUAUUAAGUCAGAUGUGAAAUCCCCGGGCUCAACCUGGGAACUGCGUCUGAUACUGGUAAGCUAGAGUUUUGGGGAGGGAAGUAGAAUUUCAGGUGUAGCGGUGAAAUGCAUAGAGAUCUGAAGGAAUACCAGUGGCGAAGGCGACUUCCUGGCCAAAAACUGACGCUGAGGUGCGAAAGCGUGGGUAGCAAACGGGAUUAGAAACCCCAGUAGUCC
This 274-nucleotide ribosomal RNA is filed under the name uncultured bacterium. RNAcentral describes it as "partial 16S ribosomal RNA". It matches the Rfam family "Bacterial small subunit ribosomal RNA", at positions 523 to 796 of the family's 1533-position model. The record is from RNAcentral.